UGAACGCUGGCGGCGUGCCUAAUACAUGCAAGUCGAACGCAUUGUGGUUGAAAUGAUAUGAAGAACUUGUUCAGAUUUGAUUUUCAACAUUGCAAUGAGUGGCGAACGGGUGAGUAACACGUGGGAAACCUACCUCUUAGCAGGGGAUAACAUUUGGAAACAAAUGCUAAUACCGUAUAAUAAUUAAAACCGCAUGGUUUUAGUUUAAAAGAUGGUCUUGCUAUCACUAAGAGAUGGUCCCGCGGUGUAUUAGUUAGUUGGUGAGGUAAUGGCUCACCAAGACAGUGAUACAUAGCCGAGUUGAGAGACUGACCGGCCACAAUGGGACUGAGACACGGCCCAUACUCCUACGGGAGGCAGCAGUAGGGAAUCUUCCACAAUGGACGAAAGUCUGAUGGAGCAACGCCGCGUGUGUGAUGAAGGGUUUCGGCUCGUAAAACACUGUUGUAAGAGAAGAAUGACAUUGAGAGUAACUGUUCAAUGUGUGACGGUAUCUUACCAGAAAGGAACGGCUAAAUACGUGCCAGCAGCCGCGGUAAUACGU
Molecule: ribosomal RNA, 544 nt
Filed under: uncultured Weissella sp.
Lineage: Bacteria; Bacillati; Bacillota; Bacilli; Lactobacillales; Lactobacillaceae
Description: bacterial SSU rRNA
Rfam family: Bacterial small subunit ribosomal RNA
Source: RNAcentral